This 101-nucleotide small nuclear RNA is filed under the name Nicotiana attenuata. Lineage: Eukaryota; Viridiplantae; Streptophyta; Magnoliopsida; Solanales; Solanaceae. The record is from RNAcentral.
GGUCCUUUUUGGGCCCUUCGAUAAAAUUGGAACGAUACAGAGAAGAUUAAGAUGCACCCAGUGCGGACCACAUUGAGAGACAUGAAAGCAUAGGUAGUGCC